RNAcentral lists this ribosomal RNA (254 nucleotides) under Aquisphaera sp. RNAcentral's name for it is "partial 16S ribosomal RNA". It matches the Rfam family "Bacterial small subunit ribosomal RNA", at positions 524 to 776 of the family's 1533-position model. RNAcentral also lists the same sequence under 1 other name. Lineage: Bacteria; Pseudomonadati; Planctomycetota; Planctomycetia; Isosphaerales; Isosphaeraceae. The record is from RNAcentral.
GACGAACCGUGCGAACGUUAUUCGGAAUCACUGGGCUUAAAGCGCGUGUAGGCGGAUGGGUACGUCGGUCGCUGAAAUCCCCCGGCUCAACCGGGGAACGGGCGCCGAAACGACCCGUCUGGAGGGACGUAGGGGGACCUGGAACUUCCGGUGGAGCGGUGAAAUGCGUUGAGAUCGGAAGGAACGCCCGUGGCGAAAGCGAGGUCCUGGACGUCUACUGACGCUGAGACGCGAAAGCUAGGGUAGCGAACGGG